Molecule: long non-coding RNA, 229 nt
Organism: Centruroides sculpturatus (bark scorpion)
Lineage: Eukaryota; Metazoa; Arthropoda; Arachnida; Scorpiones; Buthidae
Exons: 3
Source: RefSeq, a predicted model, not a curated record
CGUUGAUUGAAGCACGAGGUGUGCUUACCUUUAAUCAUGAGAAAUUAACUUAACAAAGGGAGAAAAUUCCAACGUCGAUGUAACCGGAUUGAACGAUCGACCACGAAAAUCGACAAUUCAUUUACAGAGAAAAAAAGCAAAUGCCCAUUCAGAUAGAGAAGUUCUGCCGUCGUCUUCGGUUCUGUCCGAACUGAAAAGUGGAGAAGAAACGACAAUAAAUAGCUGAAGA